GCACCUCUAGCUCAAUUGGAUAGAGCGGCUGACUACGGAUCAGCAGGUUGAGGGUUCGACUCCUUCGAGGUGCACCA
This 77-nucleotide transfer RNA is filed under the name bacterium. Its description in RNAcentral is "tRNA-Arg". It matches the Rfam family "tRNA". Rfam says of the family: Transfer RNA (tRNA) molecules are approximately 80 nucleotides in length. Their secondary structure includes four short double-helical elements and three loops (D, anti-codon, and T loops). Further hydrogen bonds mediate the characteristic L-shaped molecular structure. tRNAs have two regions of fundamental functional importance: the anti-codon, which is responsible for specific mRNA codon recognition, and the 3' end, to which the tRNAs corresponding amino acid is attached (by aminoacyl-tRNA synthetases). tRNAs cope with the degeneracy of the genetic code in two manners: having more than one tRNA (with a specific anti-codon) for a particular amino acid; and 'wobble' base-pairing, i.e. permitting non-standard base-pairing at the 3rd anti-codon position. The record is from RNAcentral. RNAcentral also lists the same sequence under 2 other names.